RNAcentral lists this ribosomal RNA (409 nucleotides) under uncultured microorganism. RNAcentral describes it as "bacterial SSU rRNA". It matches the Rfam family "Bacterial small subunit ribosomal RNA", at positions 509 to 917 of the family's 1533-position model. The record is from RNAcentral.
CAGCAGCCGCGGUAAUACGUAGGGUGCGAGCGUUAAUCGGAUUUACUGGGCGUAAAGCGUGCGCAGGCGGCCCGUUAAGACAGGUGUGAAAUCCCUGGGCUCAACCUAGGAAUUGCGCUUGUGACUGGCGGGCUCGAGUACGGUAGAGGGGGGUGGAAUUUCUGGUGUAGCAGUGAAAUGCGUAGAGAUCAGGAGGAACACCGAUGGCGAAGGCAGCCCCCUGGGCCUGUACUGACGCUCAUGCACGAAAGCGUGGGGAGCAAACAGGAUUAGAUACCGUGGUAGUCCACGCCCUAAACGAUGGGUACUAGCCGUUUGGUGCGCGAUAGCGCUGAGUGGCGAAGCUAACGCGUGAAGUACCCCGCCUGGGGAGUACGGCCGCAAGGUUGAAACUUAAGGAAUUGGCGGG